CCUUGACCAGGGGGUGUUCCAAGAUGGCUGCCGUGUCAUCUGAGGUCAGCAGGUUGAAGCGGAUGUGAGGGAGGAUGCUGGGUAGGUGGUGCAGUCUGUCCUUCCUGCUGUGCUGCACCCAUCUCACCACAGCCUCCCACACU
This is a small nucleolar RNA of Branchiostoma floridae (Florida lancelet), 143 nucleotides long. RefSeq annotates it as small nucleolar RNA SNORA17. The transcript has a single exon. NCBI's taxonomy places the organism in Eukaryota, Metazoa, Chordata, Leptocardii, Amphioxiformes, Branchiostomatidae. The record is from RefSeq and is a predicted model, not a curated record.